UCCCUGGCAGUCCAGUGGUUAAGACUCUGUGCUUCCAAUGCAGGGGACCCAAGUUUGAUCCCUGGUCAGGGAA
RNAcentral lists this transfer RNA (73 nucleotides) under Bos taurus (domestic cattle). It matches the Rfam family "tRNA". Rfam says of the family: Transfer RNA (tRNA) molecules are approximately 80 nucleotides in length. Their secondary structure includes four short double-helical elements and three loops (D, anti-codon, and T loops). Further hydrogen bonds mediate the characteristic L-shaped molecular structure. tRNAs have two regions of fundamental functional importance: the anti-codon, which is responsible for specific mRNA codon recognition, and the 3' end, to which the tRNAs corresponding amino acid is attached (by aminoacyl-tRNA synthetases). tRNAs cope with the degeneracy of the genetic code in two manners: having more than one tRNA (with a specific anti-codon) for a particular amino acid; and 'wobble' base-pairing, i.e. permitting non-standard base-pairing at the 3rd anti-codon position. RNAcentral also lists the same sequence under 5 other names. Lineage: Eukaryota; Metazoa; Chordata; Mammalia; Artiodactyla; Bovidae. The record is from Rfam by way of RNAcentral.